Molecule: non-coding RNA, 247 nt
Organism: Pelobates cultripes (western spadefoot toad)
Lineage: Eukaryota; Metazoa; Chordata; Amphibia; Anura; Pelobatidae
Source: the annotation of a GenBank genome assembly
GGCGAUUAAUAGACGGCACACUCCAUAUGCUGGGUGGUCGGUCAUUCGUUCCUACGAAUGACCUGGUGAAUUGCUUUCGUGGUUUAUUUAGAAGAAAAGACACAGACCUAUUGCAACAAAGUGGCAGACAGAGGGUAUUUGUAACACCUCGUGGCUUGGUUCUCCUCCUGCUGGCCUCCUUUUGGCUUGGUGAACCACCCUCUUCCUCGCCCAUCCCUUCUGGUCUACUUAUGGCUUGUGAUUUCCC